RNAcentral lists this long non-coding RNA (538 nucleotides) under Mytilus galloprovincialis (Mediterranean mussel). Lineage: Eukaryota; Metazoa; Mollusca; Bivalvia; Mytilida; Mytilidae. The record is from RNAcentral.
GGGUGUGGCAAAACACAUAAAAUGAUAAAAAAAUAUGGCCUUUUCAUCAAAUCACACUAAAACAGACACUACAGCCCAAAAGUCGCUUUAAUUUACCCUAAAUUUCAGAAAUGCUUUGCAUUUUCUUUGGUUCAAAAUAUUUUGAAGGGAUUUCGGUUGCAAAUUAAUUUUAUAGAUUUUAUUGAUCAUUUAGAUAGCCUCCCCCCUUUUUUUGUAUUUUCGCAAUAAAUUGAGGAAAGUCUCAUAUUUUAAUGAAACCAAGCAUUCAAAAAUAAAUACUUGAAUUAUACAGAUUGUAACAUGCAAUAUAGGUAAAUCAAAUAGAAAAUUCAAAGUGAAAUGGAUUUUUGUGUCACAAACAAUAGUAAGCAUUAGGCUUAAAAAAGGGGGGAGCUGCCAAAGACAAUUUUUUUUUGGUAUUUUUUUUAUUCCAAAUUCCUUUAGUACACUUGUCCCUAUUACUUUAAAGAGUAAAAUCCAUUCAUUUCUUCCUAGUAAUCCCAUUUUUGGUUAUUGCAGCUUGCUAAUUACUAAAGUU